This is a long non-coding RNA of Alosa alosa (allis shad), 632 nucleotides long. RefSeq lists it as uncharacterized. NCBI's taxonomy places the organism in Eukaryota, Metazoa, Chordata, Actinopteri, Clupeiformes, Clupeidae. The record is from RefSeq and is a predicted model, not a curated record. The transcript has 4 exons.
AUUUUGCACGGUGAUACCAUGUGAUUACGGCCAGUGGACUAGUGUCGAAUGCUGGCCGCUUACUCUAUUGUCAACAAGGUGAACUACGUGUGACUCUGGACAGAUGAGAGCCUGGAUGAUUAGUGUGUUUCUAUCCCGAGCUGACAGGGACCUGGCAUGGCCAGCCUCCAAGCACCAGAACUGGACACUGCCACUGAUGGAGGCCGUCCAGAACAGCUCUAGCAGGACACAGCAGUGUCGUUGUUGUCAGCUCAUUCAGGUGUCCCGAGGCUGUGUUUGGUUCUGUCCUGGGCGAAUCAGAUGCCAGCGUGUCAUCCCCUCAAGGAUCUGAACACCACCGUACAAACAAAACGGACAGACCAACCUUGGGAUGCUCUCUACCUCACCUGACUCCACUCUAAGAAUGGCUUCAGUCGUGCCUGCGGUGAGUGGAGUUGUCAGUGCAAAGGACAGUUUGUUUACUCCGCAAAAUGACAAUUGAAAUAUACAAUGUCUCCAGCGUCUCUGAACUGUGUGGAAAAAAUCAAUUAAAGGAAACAGUUCUGAGCUUGUUAAGCCUGACAGAAAAAAAAACACUGCAGCUGGUUUUAAUGUUCUAAAUAGAAACACAAUGCGAGAGAAUCAGUCCUGUU